This is a non-coding RNA of Salmo salar (Atlantic salmon), 54 nucleotides long. NCBI's taxonomy places the organism in Eukaryota, Metazoa, Chordata, Actinopteri, Salmoniformes, Salmonidae. The record is from Rfam.
UAUCCACACUACUGUGAGUUGCUUUGGAUAAAAGUGUCUGCUAAAUGGCAUAUU